This 429-nucleotide ribosomal RNA is filed under the name Gemmatimonadota bacterium. Its description in RNAcentral is "Gemmatimonadetes bacterium partial 16S ribosomal RNA". It matches the Rfam family "Bacterial small subunit ribosomal RNA", at positions 355 to 776 of the family's 1533-position model. Lineage: Bacteria; Pseudomonadati; Gemmatimonadota. The record is from RNAcentral.
UAGGGAAUCUUCGGCAAUGGACGAAAGUCUGACCGAGCAACGCCGCGUGAGUGAAGAAGGUUUUCGGAUCGUAAAACUCUGUUGUUAGAGAAGAACAAGGACGUUAGUAACUGAACGUCCCCUGACGGUAUCUAACCAGAAAGCCACGGCUAACUACGUGCCAGCAGCCGCGGUAAUACGUAGGUGGCAAGCGUUGUCCGGAUUUAUUGGGCGUAAAGCGAGCGCAGGCGGUUUCUUAAGUCGGAUGUGAAAGCCCCCGGCUCAACCGGGGAGGGUCAUUGGAAACUGGGAGACUUGAGUGCAGAAGAGGAGAGUGAAAUUCCAUGUGUAGCGGUGAAAUGCGUAGAUAUAUGGAGGAACACCAGUGGCGAAGGCGGCUCUCUGGUCUGUAACUGACGCUGAGGCUCGAAAGCGUGGGGAGCAAACAGG